AGAGUUUGAUCCUGGCUCAGGACGAACGCUGGCGGCGCGCCUAACACAUGCAAGUCGAACGAGCGAGAGAGAGCUUGCUUUCUUGAGCGAGUGGCGAACGGGUGAGUAACGCGUGAGGAACCUGCCUCAAAGAGGGGGACAACAGUUGGAAACGACUGCUAAUACCGCAUAAGCCCACGGCUCGGCAUCGAGCAGAGGGAAAAGGAGCAAUCCGCUUUGAGAUGGCCUCGCGUCCGAUUAGCUAGUUGGUGAGGUAACGGCCCACCAAGGCGACGAUCGGUAGCCGGACUGAGAGGUUGAACGGCCACAUUGGGACUGAGACACGGCCCAGACUCCUACGGGAGGCAGCAGUGGGGAAUAUUGCACAAUGGGGGAAACCCUGAUGCAGCGACGCCGCGUGGAGGAAGAAGGUCUUCGGAUUGUAAACUCCUGUUGUUGAGGAAGAUAAUGACGGUACUCAACAAGGAAGUGACGGCUAACUACGUGCCAGCAGCCGCGGUAAAACGUAGGUCACAAGCGUUGUCCGGAAUUACUGGGUGUAAAGGGAGCGCAGGCGGGAAGACAAGUUGGAAGUGAAAUCCAUGGGCUCAACCCAUGAACUGCUUUCAAAACUGUUUUUCUUGAGUAGUGCAGAGGUAGGCGGAAUUCCCGGUGUAGCGGUGGAAUGCGUAGAUAUCGGGAGGAACACCAGUGGCGAAGGCGGCCUACUGGGCACCAACUGACGCUGAGGCUCGAAAGUGUGGGUAGCAAACAGGAUUAGAUACCCUGGUAGUCCACACCGUAAACGAUGAUUACUAGGUGUUGGAGGAUUGACCCCUUCAGUGCCGCAGUUAACACAAUAAGUAAUCCACCUGGGGAGUACGACCGCAAGGUUGAAACUCAAAGGAAUUGACGGGGGCCCGCACAAGCAGUGGAGUAUGUGGUUUAAUUCGACGCAACGCGAAGAACCUUACCAAGUCUUGACAUCCCUUGACGAUGCUGGAAACAGUAUUUCUCUUCGGAGCAAGGAGACAGGUGGUGCAUGGUUGUCGUCAGCUCGUGUCGUGAGAUGUUGGGUUAAGUCCCGCAACGAGCGCAACCCUUAUGGUCAGUUACUACGCAAGAGGACUCUGGCCAGACUGCCGUUGACAAAACGGAGGAAGGUGGGGAUGACGUCAAAUCAUCAUGCCCUUUAUGACUUGGGCUACACACGUACUACAAUGGCGUUAAACAAAGAGAAGCAAGACCGCGAGGUGGAGCAAAACUCAGAAACAACGUCCCAGUUCGGACUGCAGGCUGCAACUCGCCUGCACGAAGUCGGAAUUGCUAGUAAUCGCAGAUCAGCAUGCUGCGGUGAAUACGUUCCCGGGCCUUGUACACACCGCCCGUCACACCA
This 1375-nucleotide ribosomal RNA is filed under the name metagenome. RNAcentral describes it as "bacterial SSU rRNA". It matches the Rfam family "Bacterial small subunit ribosomal RNA". The record is from RNAcentral.